AUGAAGCGCUCCCCCGUCGUCUCCCAGGCCUGGCAGGGCGCCUCCGCCUCCUCCAGCGAAGCUAACCCUAACCCGGCCGUCGCCAAGGUCGUGCUGUCCCUCGACCCCCUCAGCGCCGCCGAGCCCUCCCUCCAGCUCAAGAUGGAGAUGCCUCAAACCAAGGAAACUAGCACUUGCAACAUACGAAGGAGUUGCUCCUUGAAUAUGUUGUCCCUCCUCCUCCAUCUCCUCGCCAUCGCCACCCUGCCUUGCUCUGCCAACAACGCCACCCAACUGGUCUAUGACACGGAAGGCAACGAGCUAAAUAGCAAGUCAAAUUACUACAUCCUCCCAGCUAAACCUGCGAGCGGUGGCGGCCUCAAAGCCGUCCCAACUGGUCUACGGUGCCUACAUUUUGUGGUUGAGGAGCGCAGCAAGGCUCUCUUCGGCACACCCCUGCGAUUCACGCCGCUACCAGAACACGCUUCAGCCAGUGAGCCGAUCCGCUUGUCGAGUGACAUAUGGAUCGAGUUCCAUGACUUGAGAAGCUUUUGCUCUGAAAGGCUAGAUUGGCACCUUACAGAACAGGUGCCGGAGUUGUCAUCAGGAGAGCCUAAACAUGUGGCCGCCGGCAGUGAAGAAGGCCUAAGAUCAUUUUGGGGUGUUCCGGGUUGA
This 654-nucleotide ribosomal RNA is filed under the name Triticum aestivum (bread wheat). RNAcentral's name for it is "partial small subunit ribosomal RNA". Lineage: Eukaryota; Viridiplantae; Streptophyta; Magnoliopsida; Poales; Poaceae. The record is from RNAcentral.